GUACACACCGCCCGUCACACCAUGGGAGUUGGCCUGCACCAGAAGAGGCUAGYUUAACCUUCGGGGGGACGGUCUCCACGGUGUGGUCAAUGACUGGGGUGAAGUCGUAACAAGGUAGCMGUAGGUGAACCUGCAGAAGGAUCA
Molecule: ribosomal RNA, 144 nt
Filed under: uncultured eukaryote
Lineage: Eukaryota
Description: partial small subunit ribosomal RNA
Source: RNAcentral